Molecule: ribosomal RNA, 404 nt
Filed under: uncultured Polaribacter sp.
Lineage: Bacteria; Pseudomonadati; Bacteroidota; Flavobacteriia; Flavobacteriales; Flavobacteriaceae
Description: bacterial SSU rRNA
Rfam family: Bacterial small subunit ribosomal RNA
Source: RNAcentral
UGACGACCGGCGCACGGGUGCGUAACGCGUAUAGAACCUACCUUUUACAGAGGAAUAGCCUUUAGAAAUGAAGAUUAAUGCCUCAUGGUAUUGUAGACUGGCAUCAGUUUAUAAUUAAAGAUUUAUCGGUAAAAGAUGGCUAUGCGUCCUAUUAGUUAGUUGGUAAGGUAACGGCUUACCAAGACAGCGAUAGGUAGGGGUCCUGAGAGGGAGAUCCCCCACACUGGUACUGAGACACGGACCAGACUCCUACGGGAGGCAGCAGUGAGGAAUAUUGGACAAUGGAGGAGACUCUGAUCCAGCCAUGCCGCGUGUAGGAAGAAUGCCCUAUGGGUUGUAAACUACUUUUAUACAGGAAGAAACACUGGUAUGUAUACCAGCUUGACGGUACUGUAAGAAUAAGG